Molecule: unclassified non-coding RNA, 200 nt
Filed under: Nectriaceae sp.
Lineage: Eukaryota; Fungi; Ascomycota; Sordariomycetes; Hypocreales; Nectriaceae
Description: partial internal transcribed spacer 2
Source: RNAcentral
UUAAGUUCAGCGGGUAUUCCUACCUGAUCCGAGGUCAACAUUCAGAAGUUGGGGGUUUAACGGCAUGGCCGCACCGCGUUCCAGUUGCGAGGUGUUAGCUACUACGCAAUGGAGGCUGCAGUGAGACCGCCACUAGAUUUAGGGGGCGGCUGGUCCUAAGACUCGCCGAUCCCCAGCACCAAACCCGGGGGCUUGAGGGU